RNAcentral lists this ribosomal RNA (507 nucleotides) under uncultured Glomus. RNAcentral describes it as "SSU rRNA". It matches the Rfam family "Eukaryotic small subunit ribosomal RNA", at positions 569 to 1076 of the family's 1831-position model. The record is from RNAcentral. Lineage: Eukaryota; Fungi; Glomeromycota; Glomeromycetes; Glomerales; Glomeraceae.
CGCAGCCGCGGUAAUUCCAGCUCCAAUAGCGUAUAUUAAAGUUGUUGCAGUUAAAAAGCUCGUAGUUGAAUUUCGGGAUCAGUACGCUGGUCAUGCCUUUGGUAUGCACUGGUGUCACUGGUUUCUCCCUUCUGAAGAUCUGUGAUGUCAUUAAUUUGGUGUCGCGGGGAAUCAGGACUGUUACUUUGAAAAAAUUAGAGUGUUUAAAGCAGGCUCACGCUUGAAUACAUUAGCAUGGAAUAAUGAAAUAGGACGUUUGACCCUAUUUUGUUGGUUUCUAGGAUCGACGUAAUGAUUAAUAGGGAUAGUUGGGGGCAUUAGUAUUCAAUUGUCAGAGGUGAAAUUCUUGGAUUUAUUGAAGACUAACUACUGCGAAAGCAUUUGCCAAGGUAUGUUUUCAUUAAUCAAGAACGAAAGUUAGGGGAUCGAAGACGAUCAGAUACCGUCGUAGUCUUAACCAUAAACUAUGCCGACUAGGGAUCGGAUGAUGUUAAUUUUAUAAUGACU